Triplophysa rosa is the source of this 697-nucleotide long non-coding RNA. RefSeq lists it as uncharacterized. The transcript has 3 exons. NCBI's taxonomy places the organism in Eukaryota, Metazoa, Chordata, Actinopteri, Cypriniformes, Nemacheilidae. The record is from RefSeq and is a predicted model, not a curated record.
CUAAAAUUAUUAUUCAAAAAUUCUUCAUUCAUAGCUAUGGUGAAACCUCUGUUUAGUUCUGUUAGGUUUAAAUAAUGAAUGUCAUGGUUGCAUUGGCCAUUGCGUUUUUUUCCCAAAACACCACAUCCAUCACAAGUACAAAGUAAGUCAGUGCCACUUUCAUGUAUUUGUUUUUCUUCUGGGGUGUGAGGGGUUCUUGUUUUAUGUCAUGUCUUGUGCCGAGGUCUGUAUGGGACUCCAAAGGGAUUCUCACCUGUGUGAAGAGAAGCUGUGAACCCAUCACGCCGACAGGGAGCUUUGUGAAGACAGGCAUGAAGCAGUCUGCACCCACAGCACACGUCAUUGCCCGUUAGGAGAAGCUGAACGCACUAAAGAGCCUCUCCCUCCGCCUGCGUACCGUCAGAACAGAAGCCGCCGCUGCCUGGUUCCUGCUGUCUCAGCCGUGGAAAUCUGCAUUCUGAUCUGGCAGACGAUCGCCUGCAAAUUCCCACAUCUCUCUGAUAUAUCUGGUCAGGCACUGCAUCAUUUCAUGGUUAGCCCCUGGUCUCUGCCCUGGCCUGAAGUCAUCGCUCGGUUAGGCAGCUGCCAGGCCAGCCCUGAGGGUCCCCAGUGGUGAGUAAAGGAGUCAGGGGUUAGUCGCUGGAUGUGGAAGGCAUUGCCUCUGCUCUCAUGUCCAAUUAGGAGCUUUUUUUAAACA